AGCUUGCUCUUUCCGGAAUUGAGUGGCAAACGGGUGAGUAACACGUAAACAACCUGCCUUCAGGAUGGGGACAACAGACGGAAACGACUGCUAAUACCGAAUACGCUCAUGAUGAACGUUGUGAGGAAAGGUGGCCUCUACCUGUAAGCUAUCGCCUGAAGAGGGGUUUGCGUCUGAUUAGCUGGUUGGAGGGGUAACGGCCCACCAAGGCGACGAUCAGUAGCCGGUCUGAGAGGAUGAACGGCCACACUGGAACUGAGACACGGUCCAGACUCC
Molecule: ribosomal RNA, 276 nt
Filed under: uncultured Dialister sp.
Lineage: Bacteria; Bacillati; Bacillota; Negativicutes; Veillonellales; Veillonellaceae
Description: partial 16S ribosomal RNA
Rfam family: Bacterial small subunit ribosomal RNA
Source: RNAcentral